RNAcentral lists this ribosomal RNA (782 nucleotides) under uncultured bacterium. Its description in RNAcentral is "bacterial SSU rRNA". It matches the Rfam family "Bacterial small subunit ribosomal RNA", at positions 8 to 796 of the family's 1533-position model. The record is from RNAcentral.
AGAGUUUGAUCAUGGCUCAGGACGAACGCUGGCGGCGUGCCUAAUGCAUGCAAGUCGAGCGACGCAUGCCGGAGGGGUAACCCACUGGCAUGACGGAGCGGCGAACGGGUGAGUAACACGUGAGCAACCUGCCCCACAGACCGGGAUAGCCCAAGGAAACCUGGAUUAAUACCGGAUACCCCCGAGGAACCACAUGGCUCUUCGAGGAAAUGCCUUUGUGCUGUGGGAUGGGCUCGCGGCUUAUCAGCUAGUUGGUGGGGUAACGGCCUACCAAGGCAUCGACGAGUAGCUGGUCUGAGAGGACGAUCAGCCACACUGGGACUGAGACACGGCCCAGACUCCUACGGGAGGCAGCAGCAGGGAAUCUUGCGCAAUGGGCGAAAGCCUGACGCAGCAACGCCGCGUGGGGGAUGAAGGCCUUCGGGUUGUAAACCCCUUUCAGGAGGGAAGAAAUUGACGGUACCUCCAAAAGAAGCCCCGGCCAACUAUGUGCCAGCAGCCGCGGUAAUACGUAGGGGGCGAGCGUUGUCCGGAAUCAUUGGGCGUAAAGAGCUCGUAGGCGGUUCAGCAAGUCGGCUGUGAAAGUCCGAGGCUCAACCUCGGAACUGCAGUCGAUACUGCUGUGACUCGAGUCCGGUAGAGGAGAAUGGAAUUCCCGGUGUAGCGGUGAAAUGCGCAGAUAUCGGGAGGAACACCAGUAGCGAAGGCGGUUCUCUGGGCCGGUACUGACGCUGAGGAGCGAAAGCGUGGGGAGCAAACAGGAUUAGAUACCCUAGUAGUCC